GUACACGCUGUGACUAGCAUAUCAAUAAGCGGAGGAAAAGAAACUAACAAGGAUUCCCCUAGUAACGGCGAGUGAAGCGGGAAGAGCUCAAAUUUGAAAUCUUAAAGGGUUUCCCUUUACGAAUUGUAGUUUAAAGAAGUGUUUUCUGUUGAGGUUUUGGUAAAAGUUCCUUUGGAAUAGGACAUCAUAGAGGGUGAGAAUCCCGUAUUUGACCUUUACUUUCAACUUUGUGAUACACUUUCAAAGAGUCGGAUUGUUUGGGAAUGCAGUCCAAAAUGGGUGGUAAAUUUCAUCUAAAGCUAAAUAUUGGCGAGAGACCGAUAGCGAACAAGUACCGUGAGGGAAAGAUGAAAAGAACUUUGAAAAGAGAGUUAAACAGUACGUGAAAUUGUCAAAAGGGAAGCGUUUGACACCAGUGUUGUUUUUCUGAAAAUCAAUUAAAGAACUGUUUAUGCUAAGUUGUUUAGACUUUAUCAGCUAUCUGUUUAGUUUUGAGCUUUUCUUUAAUGCACUUUUCAGUUAACAAGUCAACAUCAAUUUCUUUUGCUGUAAAAAAGCUUGAGGAAGGUGGCUUGAGAUUCGUCUUAAGUGUUUAUAGCCUCUUGCCUAUGCAGUCGGAGAGAUUGAGGUCUGCAGCGUAGAUCCUUCGGGGCUAAAUGCAUUUGUGCUAAGUUAUAGCAUUUUAUAGACAACUUGUUGACUAUGAUUUGUCUUGUAGCUUACUCGCUUAUGUUAUUUUACCUACGCUUAGGAUGUUGACGCGCGUGUGUGCGUG
This 775-nucleotide ribosomal RNA is filed under the name uncultured Neocallimastigales. RNAcentral's name for it is "partial large subunit ribosomal RNA". It matches the Rfam family "Eukaryotic large subunit ribosomal RNA", at positions 22 to 639 of the family's 3401-position model. The record is from RNAcentral. Lineage: Eukaryota; Fungi; Neocallimastigomycota; Neocallimastigomycetes; Neocallimastigales.